GCUGGGUGUGGUGGCUCACACCUGUAAUCCCAGCACUUUGGGAGGCCGAGGUGGGGGGAUCACUUGAGGUCAGGAGUUCAAGACCAGCCUGGCCAACAUGGUGAAACCCUGUCUCUACUAAAAUACAAAAAUUAGCUGGGCGUGCUGGGCACAGUGGCUCACACCUGUAAUCCCAGCACUUUGGGAGGCUCAGGUGGGUGGAUCACGAGGUCAGGAAUUUGAGACCAGCCUGACCAACAUGGUGAAACCCCAUCUCU
This 257-nucleotide small RNA is filed under the name Aotus nancymaae (Ma's night monkey). RNAcentral describes it as "Metazoan signal recognition particle RNA (ENSANAG00000006995.1)". The stretch from base 1 to 117 matches the Rfam family "Metazoan signal recognition particle RNA". The record is from RNAcentral. Lineage: Eukaryota; Metazoa; Chordata; Mammalia; Primates; Aotidae.